UUUUUUUUUUUUUUUUUUUUUUUUAGUAGCAUCACACCAGGGAUUGAACCCACGAUAUCCCGCUGGGUCAGGGGACUCAAAAUGACAGCAGGGAGGGAGGCAGUGACUCAGAGACCAUAGUCCUCUGCUGCAUUUCCCUUUCGUGGUGCCACUGGUUUCCAUUUGCAAGGCUAUUUCACUCGGGUUAGGAUGUAUUGUCUGGGCCCACUCACUGACCAGGUGGGCCCAGUGGAGGUCUCCUGUCCUUGCUUGUGGGGUGAAGGGGUGGAGUGAUGGAUAGCCUUUCCUCACGCCUUCAGCCCAGAGCCUCUCCUCGGGCGUGGCAACAGUCUUGUGAUCCAGUGUACUCUCCUUAACUCCCCUAGGCUUCGAGGCAUGGAGGACCCUUACAUACAUUAAUAGUUAAGGCUUUUAUAACUACUGGGCCAAUCUUCUUGUCAGACAAUAUGGCCUUGACCCUGCUGCUCUGGGGAGACGCUGAAUUAUUCCGGACAUUUGGGAUGAAUGCCGCAGGCAACAAAUGAGAGAGGUAACAGGCAAAAGCACACAGCAGUGUGACGGAUCCUGGCAACUGGUGUUCCUUUCCUGGAUUGUUACUCGCUUGGGUUCUCAGUAAACCAGUCGUAGCUAAAAGGCUUUCCUCUUAUUUAAGUGCAAGAGCAAUCAAGGAAUCUUGCCGACUCUGCCAAUUAUUUUGGUCUCAGCCUAUCGGUGGUGUGGCUAUCAGCUAGAAACGCCUGGGGGAGCUCACCUGGGCCCAGUGAACUCACCCCCAGACAUCUCCCUUUUCUGAACCAAUGUGGCUGGACCAGCCCUUCUUCCAAUUGCAAGACUCCUUCAGUAAUAACUAUUGGGUUAUUACUGGAAAUUGUGUGUGUGUGUGUGUGUGUGAGAGAGAGAGAGAAAGGACACUGAGGUUUAGUAUUCACAGGUUCUGGAGAGGACAUGACCUGUGCCAGAGCCUACGUGAAGUUGGAGAGGAUUAUCAGUGAGUAGGCCUGGGGUUGAGGGGGGCCUAGUGUUUUGAGUUCACUCUUCAUUGGUGGAUUUAAGGGCAGGAAUUAAAAUGCAGGCAGGGAAAAACAAGCCAA
RNAcentral lists this long non-coding RNA (1091 nucleotides) under Canis lupus familiaris (dog). Its description in RNAcentral is "lncRNA (ENSCAFG00845024777.1)". Lineage: Eukaryota; Metazoa; Chordata; Mammalia; Carnivora; Canidae. The record is from RNAcentral.